Molecule: microRNA precursor, 75 nt
Filed under: Tursiops truncatus (common bottlenose dolphin)
Lineage: Eukaryota; Metazoa; Chordata; Mammalia; Artiodactyla; Delphinidae
Description: miRNA (ENSTTRG00000023403.1)
Source: RNAcentral
GCGUGUGUGUGUGUGUGUGUGUGUGUGUGUGUGUGUGUGUGUGUGCGCGUGCGCGAUCUUGCCGCAUAUUCAUAC